GCAGGCGGCGACAGCACGUUGAAUGCACUAGUUUCCCAUAGAUCACAGAAGUUAAACAACGUUGCGCGUGAUUAGCAUCUGGAUGAUAACUACGGUGACCAUCUGACAUCUGAGCAAUCGCAUGCUGCUGGCU
RNAcentral lists this ribosomal RNA (133 nucleotides) under Diaphorina citri (Asian citrus psyllid). The record is from RNAcentral. Lineage: Eukaryota; Metazoa; Arthropoda; Insecta; Hemiptera; Psyllidae.